This 21-nucleotide microRNA is filed under the name Pristionchus pacificus. RNAcentral describes it as "ppc-miR-8224-3p". The record is from miRBase by way of RNAcentral. Lineage: Eukaryota; Metazoa; Nematoda; Chromadorea; Rhabditida; Neodiplogasteridae.
AACUGGGCUGAAUUCAGAUGA